AGCGAACGCUGGCGGCAGGCCUAACACAUGCAAGUCGAACGAACUCUUCGGAGUUAGUGGCGGACGGGUGAGUAACACGUGGGAACGUGCCUUUAGGUUCGGAAUAACUCAGGGAAACUUGUGCUAAUACCGAAUGUGCCCUUCGGGGGAAAGAUUUAUCGCCUUUAGAGCGGCCCGCGUCUGAUUAGCUAGUUGGUGAGGUAAAGGCUCACCAAGGCGACGAUCAGUAGCUGGUCUGAGAGGAUGAUCAGCCACAUUGGGACUGAGACACGGCCCAAACUCCUACGGGAAGCAGCAGUGGGGAAUCUUGCGCAAUGGGCGAAAGCCUGACGCAGCCAUGCCGCGUGAAUGAUGAAGGUCUUAGGAUUGUAAAAUUCUUUCACCGGGGACGAUAAUGACGGUACCUGGAGAAGAAGCCCCGGCUAACUUCGUG
RNAcentral lists this ribosomal RNA (433 nucleotides) under uncultured bacterium. RNAcentral describes it as "partial 16S ribosomal RNA". It matches the Rfam family "Bacterial small subunit ribosomal RNA", at positions 29 to 507 of the family's 1533-position model. The record is from RNAcentral.